Molecule: ribosomal RNA, 583 nt
Filed under: Blastocystis sp. subtype 5
Lineage: Eukaryota; Bigyra; Opalinata; Blastocystidae
Description: SSU rRNA
Rfam family: Eukaryotic small subunit ribosomal RNA
Source: RNAcentral
UAGUCAUACGCUCGUCUCAAAGAUUAAGCCAUGCAUGUGUAAGUAUAAAUAAUUUUACUUUGAAACUGCGAAUGGCUCAUUAUAUCAGUUAUAGUUUAUUAGAAAUAUUUUACUACUUGGAUAACCGUAGUAAUUCUAGGGCUAAUACAUGAGUAAAACCUCAACUUCGGAAGAGGUGUGUUUAUUAGUAUGAAAACCAUAUAUCUUCGGAUAUAAUAGUGAGUAAUAAUAACCUUUCAUAUCGUAUGUCGUAAGAUAACGAUAGUUCUUUCAAGUUUCUGCCCUAUCAGCUUUCGAUGGUAGUAUAUGGGACUACCAUGGCAGUAACGGGUAACGAAGAAUUUGGGUUCGAUUUCGGAGAGGGAGCCUGAGAGAUGGCUACCACAUCCAAGGAAGGCAGCAGGCGCGUAAAUUACCCAAUCCUGACAUAGGGAGGUAGUGACAAUAAAUCACAAUGCGGAACUUUUAGUUUUGCAAUUGGAUUGAGAACAAUGUACAAAUGUUAUCGAUAAACAAUUGGAGGGCAAGUCUGGUGCCAGCAGCCGCGGUAAUUCCAGCUCCAAUAGCGUAUAUUAACGUUGUU